This is a long non-coding RNA of Astatotilapia calliptera (eastern happy), 1649 nucleotides long. NCBI's taxonomy places the organism in Eukaryota, Metazoa, Chordata, Actinopteri, Cichliformes, Cichlidae. The record is from Ensembl.
CAUCACAGAGGAGCAAUCGUAAAUGCACGUGUACAGUCUGUGGACACAGUGAAUGGAGCUUUUUAAAUUGAAACAUAGAAGACAAAGGAAGAUCAACCCCUGCAACAUUCUUCAAUAUAAGCAGCAGAGACGGACAACUGCAACUGGCUGGUCAUGAAGAGGAAGAGAAGAUAGAAAAGAGGAGCAGAGAGAGACGAGGACACAACACCAACUAAGAGAAUACAUUUAAUAAAUGAGUUUAAUGACUUGAAAGAGAGAAGAAAAAAUGUGAGCGUAACAUGACUGGACAAGUGCAAUUCUCUGUACUUUGAUUUGGACCAGACCUCUCUUCAUUGUCUCCAGUUGGUCCAAAAUGCAGCUGCUCGCCUGCUAACUGCACUAAAUGGAAGGAGCAUAUUACCAGUUUUUGGCCUCUCUACACUGGCUCCCUGUUCCGUACAGGAUCCAAUUUAAAAUCUUCCCUUUUUUUUUAAAUCGCUUAACGGCCGAGGCCCUUCUUACCUGUCCAGGUCCAGAUCAAAACUAACCUUGACUAUUCCACAGACUAAACUUAAAUCUCAUGGUGACAGAGCCUUCUCUGUGGCAGGUCCCAGACUCUGGAAAAUCCUUCCUCUUAAUAUUUGAUCUGCACAAACGCUUAAACAUUUUAAAUUGUUACUAAAGACACAUUUUUAUGGUCUGGCUUUUAACACAAAUUGAUCAAAACAUUUUGGUUUUAACAGCCUUAGUUGUUGUUUUUGCUGUUUUUAUUGACUUAUUUUAUUUAUUUAUUUGUUUGUUUUUUUAUAUUUUACUUCAUCAUUGUUGUACAUUUUAUUUAUUUUAGUGGCAUUUUACAUUGUUAAGCACUUUGUGCAACAUGGACUGUUUGGAAAUGUGCUAUAUAAAUAAGCCUGACCUGCUGUAAGCCUAAAUAUGAGCUUGAUCAAAAACAAAAGUGUUAAAUUUAAUCUUAAAGCAACUAACGUUUUUUGUCUUCUGAACCCAAACUGGUUCCACAUGAAUAAAGCAUUACAGCUAAGGACUAUACCUCCAAUCUUUUUUAGAAACUCUAGGAACCAUAAACGAAGUAAAGUUAUGCUUCAGCAGGGGAAGUGUAAAGGCAGUCUAUGGGCAGUCAAGGAAUGCCCUCAUGCUAGCCCCCACUGAAUCAGUGCCCAUUGCUGAUAGAGGCAGUGUAUCAAAUAUGUGGUACAACUGGUCUGUGGGGCACUCUCGCUUGUGCUGUUGUUGUUCCACCAACCAGCUUGGGGAGGAGCAAAGUUUAUAACAUACAAAGAGCUGAAGCGAAACCAAGUGGUGUUAAAAACAUCUGUCCACUGCAGCCACUGUCAGUACUUUUCAAAUAGUAUAUCUAUCUCUAACCAGAUUCUUGCUCUGGAUGGUAUUACCUCGGCCUCCAGUAACACUGUGAGGAACCUUGGAGUCAUUUUGACCAGGAUUUGUCCUUCAAUGCACAUAUUAAACAAAUAUGUAGGACUGCUUUCUUCCAUUUGCGCAACAUCUCUAAAAUUAGAAAUAUCCUGCUCGCUCAAAGUGAUGCUGAAAAACUAAUUCAUGCAUUUAUUACUUCCAUGCUCGGCUACUGCAAUUCAUUAUUAUCAGGAUGUCCUAAAAACUCCCUGAAAAGCCUUCAGUUAAUCCAAAAU